AAAUCCAAAAAAAAACAAAAAAAAACAGAAAAAAAC
This 36-nucleotide small RNA is filed under the name Arabidopsis thaliana (thale cress). RNAcentral's name for it is "ATSL135530". The record is from RNAcentral. Lineage: Eukaryota; Viridiplantae; Streptophyta; Magnoliopsida; Brassicales; Brassicaceae.